GUGUACAAAGCUGUAUUUUAAAUUUUAACAUCAUUAGACAUAUUGACUUUGUAUAUUUACUUCGUAGCGAGAGUUCCUGGUUAUGAACCUGUUGUACUAGAAACGCCGUUCUACUUCCGCUUAUACUUUGUUGUACCCGUCGUUGCUUCAAUUACAGUAAUUCUGUGUGUGAUCAUUAUAGCUUGGGCUUGUCUGAAGAAAACACAUUAUAAUGAAGGCCGAAAAGCACAACUCUACGUCAGCUAUCAGCAACGACUCACUUACGUUCCUCCUUCCGAGGUGUCUCGCGACAGCCGUGCUGGCGAUGCUGCUUAUGAUGUUCCCUGGGACUUCCCUAAUGGCAGAGGAACUAUGAUAACAUAAAUGGAUAGAAGAAACAACAACAAAAGGGAAGAGAGAGGACAAACUAUGUGAAGCUAAAACAAGGACAGAUAUAUGUAUAGAGGAUGUAAAUCUUAGUCACUAUCUACUGCUUUGACAACAACCUAUUUUACUGCUUUCUCUACCAAUUAUGAAGUGAUCGCUGUGAAUAUUAGACAAUCCCUCUUCUCUACUUUUGUAUGAUAGUUUCAAAUAUGGGAAGGAAAUCUCCAUUUUCCUGGAGUUAAAACCAAGUUUGUCUUGUUUCCAUUGCAUUAUAUUAUAAUGAAAAUAUAUAUAUUUUUAAAUCAACAAGUUUAUUUAAAAAAAUUAAAAUCCCAGACCCUAGUGAUCACGAUAUUUCACUCCUGCAUCAUAGAUUCACAUUCAACCUUUAAGCUAUCCACAGUCUCACGAUAUCUUAAACAGAUGAUUUACUCCUAAACCUUGCUGUCGUGUCUUUAAAGUUGUCGUGAUCAAGGAGAUUUCUUUAAUUAUGUUUAUGAAUAGUUUGUUUUCAAGUAGGAUGCAGUGGCUCAAGAAACACUUGUUUAAUUUUCAUUAAAGUUGAAACUGCAUCGGAUCUGAAUGUUGGACUCUCAUCCUUAUUAACAGAUGAGACUUUAUAGUCAGCAUGGAGUUAGUAAAUCUCACUUUGGAAAAAUUACAUGAUACAUUAGGAUGGAGUUGGUAACCUAUUGAAGACCUCAUUCACUAUGUUUACAUUGUUGCCCGUAAUAAACUUGAUAGACUUAAGAGAUGUUGUUUACUAGCUCAGCUGUUUAAUGUUCACCUGUUCCUGAUCUAGACACAGUUGUGUGAUGUUUUGUAGUGGAUAAUAAAUAAUCAAGAAUUAUUCUACAUUACCAUUACGUUCUCUUGUAAAUUAAUCUAAGCUCAUGUUUCUAGCUGUUCUAUUAUAGAUAUACGUGGAACGUUGUAGCCUUCAAUAAUAAUAGUGGUAGAAAACGUGGAACAAAAAAUAUAUAUACUUGUAAGGUUUGAAAACUUUCAGUGUUGUGGUACUGCUGUUUGAUAGUGUAUUAUUAUCAGUUGUUGGUUUAGUUUUGUAGUUCUGCUGUCUGAUAGUGUAUUAUUAUCAGUUGUUGGUUUAGUUUUGUGUUACUGCUGUCCAAUAGUGUACUAUUAUCAGUUGUUGGUUUAGUUUUGUGGUACUGCUGUUUGAUAGUGUAUUAUUAUCAGUUGUUGGUUUAGUUUUGUUGUACUGCUGUCUGAUAGUGUAUUAUUAUCAGUUGUUGGUUUAGUUUUGUAGUUCUGCUGUCUGAUAGUGUAUUAUUAUCAGUUGUUGGUUUAGUUUUGUGGUACUGCUGUCUGAUAGUGUACUAUUAUCAGUUGUUGGUUUAGUUUGAUGGUACUGCUGUCUGAUAGUGUAUUAUUAUCAAUUGUUGGUUUAGUUUAGUAUAUACUUGUAUGUAUAUGAACUAAACUUUUAAUUCUGUAUUUUGUAAAAUCAAUGUACAGCUAGUCCUACAAUAUUAGGAAUAUCACUUUAUACACAGAUAAAAUGUAUUUGAAUGUUAUCACUAAUAAUAUUAUACCAUUACAGUAGCUUUUGAAAGGUUCACAGAAACACAUUCUUCAUGACCAACUGUAAGCACAUAAGAUGUUUGUGUGAUUAUAUAACAGUGGAAACAAAGGACAACUUGUUUAAAUUCCAUAUUGAAAAUACUUUACUUAUAUUUAGGUUUGAUGUUUUAAACAAUAACUAUCAUUUUGUAGAGUCUGAUACACGUCAAAGAUGUUCAUUUUUAUUGUAUAAAAAGUGUAUGUGUCAUUUUCAUAUUGAACUUAACAAAUAAAGAGAGAAAAACUUC
This is a long non-coding RNA of Limulus polyphemus (Atlantic horseshoe crab), 2195 nucleotides long. RefSeq lists it as uncharacterized. The transcript has 4 exons. NCBI's taxonomy places the organism in Eukaryota, Metazoa, Arthropoda, Merostomata, Xiphosura, Limulidae. The record is from RefSeq and is a predicted model, not a curated record.